AGGCAAACUGUCCUUCAGCAAUGGGAGCUUGCACUUAAUAUGGGAUACUCCUAAUCCAAAUGAGCACACUAUUAUAGCGAGGACCAUCUCAGGAUUAGAUGACUUCACACAAGUAAUCGGCCAGUACAGAGGAAUUGUUCCACAAAUUCGUUUGGUUCGCUGGUUAGUGUAUAGUCAAUUUUCUGUAGUACUCAAAUAAAACAUGCUAACAAUCAUUUUGUAUAGACUAAUGAGUUUAUUUUAAGGAGCGCCAGGCCAUCUUUCUCGUGUCAGCGAUCAUCUCCCUGUGCCUUCCCAUAGUGAUGCUUAGCCGCUGUCUAUCUAUAGUGUUCCAACCAGUGAUGAUAGCAGGAAGGAAGAGGAGGCAGAAAGGGAGAUGGGUAGGGAAAGAACAAAGGAUGCUAUGUAGUCUCUUUGAUGUGAUGCCACAAUUUUCUUUUUUCUUUUGCUAUUAAGUAGAGGUUGUGUGCUCUCUUUUGGAUCUAAUGCCAUCAUUUUUUUUGCUACCAACCCCGAUUUUAAGUUGGUCAGGUGCAAAGGAGGCUAACACAGUAUAUUGAACAAUAUGGUCUGGUAUUAUUGUUAGUUAUCACUUAUCAAUCGAUCCAGGAUUCAAUCUCAUUUUCAAAUUCAAGUGUUUCAUUUGAAGGAUGACGCAAAUCACACGCAAGGAACAUGUUAAUAUGCAUACUAUUGGUCUUCCUGAGUCAUUUGUGCAACAUAUAUAUUACGCCAUAGCAAUUGAAAGCUGACUGGUGUGCAGGUUGAAUUUUGUGUGUUCUAACUUCUAAGUUCUACAACAAUCAAGGGCUAUUGGUUCUGGAAAUUAUUCACAAACAUGCGGGCUCUGACCUACUUUUGUCCAAAUAUCUUUCUUUGUAGUGAAUUGUGCUGAUUCACAUUAAGGUGCAGCGAAACUACCUGAAAUCAUAUUAUUUUGUCUUCCCAUCGGCUACUUUUAAGAGGUCCUGAAGAGGAUGUUUCUGCACCCCUAUUAUGCUUACAGAAAAAGGCACCAGAAGGCUAUGGAUUUUCAAGAAUGGGCACUUUCGCUCAAUGGUCUUCCGAUGCAACACUGUAUGUGUCGUCAAAUUUUGGCUUUUGGCUGCUCGUGUAGUGUCUUCCUAAAUUAAUAGACCAGUCAGAUGCAUUGUGGCCAUUUUUGCUUUGGUUCAAUAAGUGAAGAAACCUAUAGGAACAUAUAUUCUGUGUUUUGUGAUCCACCUUGUAAGACUGCCGCCUCUCUAUUAAUAUAGACCUAUGACCUUACUUUGCUUGCUCUGCUUUAUGAGCGAAUGCUCUCCUGCUGCAGUUUCUAUAUAUUCUUUUUUUCAACAAUUGAUGUUUAUUUGGAUUGCAUACACGUUCACAAGUGCAUCAGCAGGAUUAGUGCGCAGAGUACCCCAGAAUGGACAGGUGUUCUCCUAAAGUACUCAUGCUCUUUGGUCAGGUGCUCUAGAGAUUUCUAAUAGUAGAUCUUAUGUGCAUGGUGAAUUCAACAAGAUUGUGUAAAUUUUCUGAAUGAUGCAAGUUUCACCAUCCAGUUGAUCGGUCUGCACCUGAUUCCAUUGCAAAGUGGGAGCUUUCUCAGCAACCUGUGAUGCUUACUCUUGCUGGCCUUCCAAGCAGAAAGAGUUAUUCGUUAGACGGUGUCAUCGAUUAUAACUUCACAUCGUCAAUGUUCAUCUUGUUUUUCAAGCACACAUGGAAGUUGCUGCAAGACACAUCACUGGGGCGGAUGCGAAGGCCGUCAAGGGCAGAGCAGAGCGAGACCGGGCGCGGCGGCCGGGUGCGGUCUGCAUAAUUGGUGGCCGGUGGUGGUGCGCGACCUGCGCGAGUUAGAGGCGAGGUGACGGCGUUGACCAGGACGCGUCGCAGAUCCUCAUCGUGCUUCCGCGAGAGGAGCUCGUCGAGGGUCCCCUCUUCCCCACGGAUCAGCGACGGAGGUGCUUGUGCCUUUCAUAUUCCAUUCCAAUGCUAGAAACAUAUAUCUUUUCAUCUGAUGGAGUUUUGUUCUAAUGUAAUUCCAUGGUCAUAUAUGGAGGACUGGAUUUGAAAGGAAAAAAUUGCAAGGAGUUUUUUUUAGGAUGUUCCUGAGGCAUUAAAGAACUGGCAGUCUCAUCGUAUGAAGGUUGUCAAAAGUCGUAAAUCAGUUCUCCCCUGCAUCCGCGAAGUGGCAGAAGAGGAUUGCGAUGGCUGUGCCCCGCGCCGCCUCCAUCCCUGCACCAUCUUCGUCACAUGCAGCGGCCGACUUAUCUCCGCACAACGUGAGUGGCUCAUUAAGGAGAUUGAAGCUGAGGAUGACGAGGCACAGAAGCAGCACGAUGGCGAUGCAAAAAAGUCACGUCGGUGGCUGGGUCAUCGACCUUGAUUCGAACGGAAUUAGUGAACUUUUUUAUUUGGUUUUUAUAAUGCUCGGUGUCUCACUUUUUGCGUCCACUUUGGUAAAUUGUGUUGAAUGACAACGCUUGACGGAUGUUCGUGAACGUGUUGGUGGUAUCUGUUUGGUGAUCCACAUUGGAGAUGCCCUAAUAUCCCUUGUAUACGAGUAAUUUAUUUAGCUUUUUUGAAAUUUAUGGUGCAACUUCUUAUUAACAUGCC
Molecule: ribosomal RNA, 2601 nt
Filed under: Triticum aestivum (bread wheat)
Lineage: Eukaryota; Viridiplantae; Streptophyta; Magnoliopsida; Poales; Poaceae
Description: partial small subunit ribosomal RNA
Source: RNAcentral